UACGGAGGGUGCAAACGUUGCUCGGAAUCAUUGGGCGUAAAGCGCACGUAGGCGGCCUGUUAAGUCGGGUGUGAAAGCCCUCGGCUCAACCGAGGAAGUGCAUUCGAAACUGGCAGGCUUGAGUAUGGAAGAGGGUCGCGGAAUUCCCGGUGUAGAGGUGAAAUUCGCAGAUAUCAGGAGGAACACCGGUGGCGAAGGCGGGUCUCUGGGCCGAUACUGACGCUGAGGAGCGAAAGCGUGGGGAGCGAACAGG
This 253-nucleotide ribosomal RNA is filed under the name uncultured bacterium. Its description in RNAcentral is "partial 16S ribosomal RNA". It matches the Rfam family "Bacterial small subunit ribosomal RNA", at positions 524 to 776 of the family's 1533-position model. The record is from RNAcentral.